UGGUGCGGUUCUGGAGGAAGUCUUCUUCCAGGUAGCCCAUAAAAAGUUUGGCAUAUUGUGGAGCCAUUUUGGUUCUCAUAGCUGUACCCAUGGUCUGGAAGAAGUGUUGGUUAUUAAAAGUGAACUUAUGUGAGAGAAUGCAGUU
This is a long non-coding RNA of Gavialis gangeticus (Gharial), 145 nucleotides long. RefSeq lists it as uncharacterized. NCBI's taxonomy places the organism in Eukaryota, Metazoa, Chordata, Crocodylia, Gavialidae. The record is from RefSeq and is a predicted model, not a curated record. The transcript has 3 exons.